AGAUAUGUUUAAUUGUGAAUCAAUCCAAAAUCCACUGUAAAAUGUUUGUUGUUUAUGUAUGCGUAAUAUGUGACUAAUUGUUAUUCUUAGAGCAAGGGGAAAAAGAAGUAUAAACGUCAUCAAAGGUCAGUUCAGGACAUGUUUGCAGAAGCAGAGGUAACUGCAACUGAAGGUGUCUUAAUCAUUCAAAAAUGGUGAAGGAAGGUCAUUGGAAGGUUGAUUGAGCUGUGGUCAACAACAGUAUAUACCCAGCUACCAAGGGAUGCUAUGGAACAAGGAAAAGCGUGUUGAAGAACACCUUUAAAAUACUUCCUAAAGCCACGCACACCAGUUGUUUCGUCAAGAAGUAGGCUAAAUUAGCCUGCACUGAAGUUUGUGCUGCUACAGCAGACGUACCUUGUAUGGAUAAUAUUCUGUUUUAAGUGAUGUCUUCAGCACCCUUCCUAUCAAGGCAGUCCCCCAUCUCCGCAUGCCUUCCUUUACCAUAUUGGUCAGAUUAGUUGCUCCCAUGCAUGCAACGCAUACAGAACUAGACUACGGCGUUCGGUUCCUGCAAGGGCCCAGUUCCUUCCAUGCCUUCUGGAGAGCUCAGGGUGUUACGGUACUGCUAUACGUUGCCAAAGGAACUGCUUGGAUCCUCUUCCUGUGAGUUCCUUCUCCUCAACAAAGUCAGGUGGUGAGUCUAAGGUUCAAAAUGGAAGGACUGAUGCAACAUUACUUAAGCCUCUUUGCUCAAAAGAAAAGGAAGGAGUGCGUUCUCACAGGCGUUGUGGCUGACAGACGUACGGCAGUCGAACAGCAGUGUGCGUACCCUCCGUGGCAGCUGAAUCAGUCGGAGGAGCCAGCAGAAUUCCAGAGCUCGCGUCCAGCUCCAGCCAGUCCUCCUGGGCAGGUGUGCUGAGCGCCUGGCUUCCAGUUCCUCUGCAAGCAUACACAGGAUUUGAGGUAAUCCAGCCUGGCACUAAAACUUCCAGUGCAGAACUUACCGUCCUGGCCAAAAGUAUCUGAAGACAUGAGAGGUUUGGAGCUGGAGGUGUAUCUUAGCUGGCGAGUCUGAAACCGGGAAUCUCAGAGAUUCCUCUGAGGGAGGAUUUGCAGUUAACGGAUGCAAUUAGCUGGGGGUAAGAGGAAGGGAUUUCAGUUUGGCAGAUGAGAACUGGGAAGGGAGAAGUAAGCAUGGUAUAUGCAUUUGUAUGCACCACGACAAAAGUGGCUGCCACUAUUGCCAGUGAUGGUUCUUGGCUAC
This is a long non-coding RNA of Dromaius novaehollandiae (emu), 1246 nucleotides long. RefSeq lists it as uncharacterized. Lineage: Eukaryota; Metazoa; Chordata; Aves; Casuariiformes; Dromaiidae. The transcript has 3 exons. The record is from RefSeq and is a predicted model, not a curated record.